AUAAUAAUAAUAAUUAUUAUUAUUAUUAUCAAGUUUUAGAUAUUAAUCUACCUGAUCUGAAUUCUAUCUCAAGCCCUUAAUAACUCAACAAGUUUUAAGUCCUUUGCUUAGAGACAUAAGAGUAAACAUACACAUUCCAUACUACCAGGAGUGGCUAUCUGGUCACGUGGUACGCGCUUCGGACUGCCAUAAUGAUGAUUCAGAGUCCUAGCCCCGUCUGCCGUCAUCCCCUAACGUCCAGCAGGAAGUCUGGGAAAGCACGUGAUAAUCCUUUUUUACUUCCCCUAGAACGAACGUCAGAAAGUUCUACAACGAACAUUUAAAUACGUGUACUAGUCUGUCGAGCAUUUCUCUAGUCAUAUAUCAGAGCUCAAUACGAUAGAACCCCCGCACAUAUUAUUCAAUUAAUAUACGUUUUAUUAUUAUCAAUAUUUAUGUAUUAAAGGAAAAAAUAUGCAAAAGGCCAGCUACCUUUUUUUAAAUGGCCAUUUGCUCAAAUAAAAUGUGUGUCACAAUCUAUUAUACAUAAUACAGGAGCAAUAGAAUAGUACUUUAUUUUAAUGGACAAAUGUAUAAUUCUCAUUAUAUUAUUCACAACUAAUAUGCCUUAAGUUUUAUUUAUAAACCACCAUUCCUUAUGUAUUGCAAUAAAACAAAUGUAUUAUAUUGACAAUGUAUUUCAAUGACAUAACAAGAUGUUACUAUGUAGAUAACAUCAAAUAAAUUUACACUUUAUACAUUUUAAAA
This is a non-coding RNA of Biomphalaria pfeifferi, 747 nucleotides long. The record is from the annotation of a GenBank genome assembly. Lineage: Eukaryota; Metazoa; Mollusca; Gastropoda; Planorbidae.